This 199-nucleotide ribosomal RNA is filed under the name uncultured bacterium. Its description in RNAcentral is "partial 16S ribosomal RNA". It matches the Rfam family "Bacterial small subunit ribosomal RNA", at positions 335 to 524 of the family's 1533-position model. The record is from RNAcentral.
ACUCCUACGGGAGGCAGCAGUGGGGAAUUUUGCGCAAUGGGGGAAACCCUGACGCAGCAACGCCGCNNGGGUGAUGAAGGCCUUCGGGUCGUAAAGCUCUGUCUGGAGGGAAGAAAUGAUUGGGAGCCAAUACCUCUUGAUCAAUGACGGUACCUCUGAAGGAAGCACCGGCUAACUCCGUGCCGCCAGCCGCGGUAAU